CAACAGGGAUUGCCCUAGUAACGGCGAGUGAAGCGGCAACAGCUCAAAUUUGAAAUCUGGCUCUUUCAGAGUCCGAGUUGUAAUUUGCAGAGGGCGCUUUGGCUUUGGCAGCGGUCCAAGUUCCUUGGAACAGGACGUCACAGAGGGUGAGAAUCCCGUACGUGGUCGCUAGCUAUUGCCGUGUAAAGCCCCUUCGACGAGUCGAGUUGUUUGGGAAUGCAGCUCUAAAUGGGAGGUAAAUUUCUUCUAAAGCUAAAUAUUGGCCAGAGACCGAUAGCGCACAAGUAGAGUGAUCGAAAGAUGAAAAGCACUUUGGAAAGAGAGUCAAACAGCACGUGAAAUUGUUGAAAGGGAAGCGCUUGCAGCCAGACUUGCUUGCAGUUGCUCAUCCGGGCUUUUGCCCGGUGCACUCUUCUGCAGGCAGGCCAGCAUCAGUUUGGGCGGUGGGAUAAAGGUCUCUGACACGUUCCUUCCUUCGGGUUGGCCAUAUAGGGGAGACGUCAUACCACCAGCCUGGACUGAGGUCCGCGCAUCUGCUAGGAUGCUGGCGUAAUGGCUGUAAGCGGCCCGUCUUGAAACACGGACCAAGGAGUCUAACAUCUAUGCGAGUGUUUGGGUGUCAAGCCCGAGCGCGUAAUGAAAGUGAACGGAGGUGGGAACCCGCAAGGGUGCACCAUCGACCGAUCCUGAAGUUUACGGAAGGAUUUGAGUAAGAGCAUGGCUGUUGGGACCCGAAAGAUGGUGAACUAUGCUUGAAUAGGGUGAAGCCAGAGGAAACUCUGGUGGAGGCUCGCAGCGGUUCUGACGUGCAAAUCGAUCGUCAAAUUUGGGCAUAGGGGCGAAAGACUAAUCGAACUAUCUAGUAGCUGGUUCCUGCCGA
This 880-nucleotide ribosomal RNA is filed under the name Curvularia lunata. RNAcentral describes it as "eukaryotic LSU rRNA". It matches the Rfam family "Eukaryotic large subunit ribosomal RNA", at positions 66 to 964 of the family's 3401-position model. The record is from RNAcentral. Lineage: Eukaryota; Fungi; Ascomycota; Dothideomycetes; Pleosporales; Pleosporaceae.